GACGAACGCUGUCGGCGUGCCUAAUACAUGCAAGUAGAACGCUGAAGAGAGGAGCUUGCUCUUCUUGGAUGAGUUGCGAACGGGUGAGUAACGCGUAGGUAACCUGCCUUGUAGCGGGGGAUAACUAUUGGAAACGAUAGCUAAUACCGCAUAACAAUGGAUGACACAUGUCAUUUAUUUGAAAGGGGCAAUUGCUCCACUACAAGAUGGACCUGCGUUGUAUUAGCUAGUAGGUGAGGUAAUGGCUCACCUAGGCGACGAUACAUAGCCGACCUGAGAGGGUGAUCGGCCACACUGGGACUGAGACACGGCCCAGACUCCUACGGGAGGCAGCAGUAGGGAAUCUUCGGCAAUGGGGGCAACCCUGACCGAGCAACGCCGCGUGAGUGAAGAAGGUUUUCGGAUCGUAAAGCUCUGUUGUAAGUCAAGAACGGGUGUGAGAGUGGAAAGUUCACACUAUGACGGUAGCUUACCAGAAAGGGACGGCUAACUACGUGCCAGCAGCCGCGGUAAUACGUAGGUCCCGAGCGUUGUCCGGAUUUAUUGGGCGUAAAGCGAGCGCAGGCGGUUUGAUAAGUCUGAAGUUAAAGGCUGUGGCUCAACCAUAGUUCGCUUUGGAAACUGUCAAACUUGAGUGCAGAAGGGGAGAGUGGAAUUCCAUGUGUAGCGGUGAAAUGCGUAGAUAUAUGGAGGAACACCGGUGGCGAAAGCGGCUCUCUGGUCUGUAACUGACGCUGAGGCUCGAAAGCGUGGGGAGCGAACAGGAUUAGAUACCCUGGUAGUCCACGCCGUAAACGAUGAGUGCUAGGUGUUGGAUCCUUUCCGGGAUUCAGUGCCGCAGCUAACGCAUUAAGCACUCCGCCUGGGGAGUACGACCGCAAGGUUGAAACUCAAAGGAAUUGACGGGGGCCCGCACAAGCGGUGGAGCAUGUGGUUUAAUUCGAAGCAACGCGAAGAACCUUACCAGGUCUUGACAUCCCGAUGCUAUUUCUAGAGAUAGAAAGUUACUUCGGUACAUCGGUGACAGGUGGUGCAUGGUUGUCGUCAGCUCGUGUCGUGAGAUGUUGGGUUAAGUCCCGCAACGAGCGCAACCCCUAUUGUUAGUUGCCAUCAUUCAGUUGGGCACUCUAGCGAGACUGCCGGUAAUAAACCGGAGGAAGGUGGGGAUGACGUCAAAUCAUCAUGCCCCUUAUGACCUGGGCUACACACGUGCUACAAUGGUUGGUACAACGAGUUGCGAGUCGGUGACGGCGAGCUAAUCUCUUAAAGCCAAUCUCAGUUCGGAUUGUAGGCUGCAACUCGCCUACAUGAAGUCGGAAUCGCUAGUAAUCGCGGAUCAGCACGCCGCGGUGAAUACGUUCCCGGGCCU
Molecule: ribosomal RNA, 1369 nt
Filed under: uncultured bacterium
Lineage: Bacteria
Description: bacterial SSU rRNA
Rfam family: Bacterial small subunit ribosomal RNA
Source: RNAcentral